CCCACUGAGCCACCUUCCCAGCCCCAAAGUUACUUUUUUUAAAGCAAUAAUCCUGACCUUCUUUAUCUAUCAAAAUGACAGAUUAAAAAAAAAGAAUUGGGGGCUGGGAAGGUGGCUCAGUGGU
This 124-nucleotide microRNA precursor is filed under the name Dipodomys ordii (Ord's kangaroo rat). RNAcentral's name for it is "mir-3473 microRNA precursor family". It matches the Rfam family "mir-3473 microRNA precursor family". Lineage: Eukaryota; Metazoa; Chordata; Mammalia; Rodentia; Heteromyidae. The record is from Rfam by way of RNAcentral.